Molecule: transfer RNA, 78 nt
Filed under: marine bacterium AO1-C
Lineage: Bacteria; Pseudomonadati; Bacteroidota; Cytophagia; Cytophagales; Cytophagaceae
Also listed under: 1 other name
Description: tRNA-Pro
Rfam family: tRNA
About the family: Transfer RNA (tRNA) molecules are approximately 80 nucleotides in length. Their secondary structure includes four short double-helical elements and three loops (D, anti-codon, and T loops).
Source: RNAcentral
CGGGGUAUAGCGCAGUCCGGUUAGCGUACCUGCUUUGGGAGCAGGGGGUCGUAGGUUCGAAUCCUACUACCCCGACUA